Molecule: ribosomal RNA, 406 nt
Filed under: uncultured bacterium
Lineage: Bacteria
Description: partial 16S ribosomal RNA
Rfam family: Bacterial small subunit ribosomal RNA
Source: RNAcentral
GAUGAACGCUGGCGGCAGGCUUAACACAUGCAAGUCGAACGAGCAGAGGACGGGUGGGUGAUGUCUGGGAAACUGCCUGAUGGAGGAGGAUAACUACUAGAAACGGUCGCUAAUACCGCAUACCCACAGAUGUGCCCAGGUUGGAUUAGCUAGUAGGUGGGGUAAUGGCUCACCUAGGCGACGAUCCCUAGCUGGUCUGAGAGGAUGACCAGUCACACUGGAACUGAGACACGGUCCAGACUCCUACGGGAGGCAGCAGUGGGGAAUAUUGGACAAUGGGCGCAAGCCUGAUGCAGCCAUGCCGCGUGUGUGAAGAAGGCAUUCGGGUUGUAAAGCACUUUUAGCGAGGAGGCGUUACUCGCAGAAGAAGCACCGGCUAACUCCGUGCCAGCCGCCGCGGUAAUUC